RNAcentral lists this ribosomal RNA (861 nucleotides) under uncultured bacterium. RNAcentral's name for it is "bacterial SSU rRNA". It matches the Rfam family "Bacterial small subunit ribosomal RNA", at positions 8 to 916 of the family's 1533-position model. The record is from RNAcentral.
AGAGUUUGAUCCUGGCUCAGAGCGAACGCUGGCGGCAGGCCUAACACAUGCAAGUCGAACGGACCCUUCGGGGUUAGUGGCGGACGGGUGAGUAACACGUGGGAACGUGCCUUUAGGUUCGGAAUAGCUCCUGGAAACGGGUGGUAAUGCCGAAUGUGCCCUUCGGGGGAAAGAUUUAUUGCCUUUAGAGCGGCCCGCGUCUGAUUAGCUAGUUGGUAAGGUAAUGGCUUACCAAGGCGACGAUCAGUAGCUGGUCUGAGAGGAUGAUCAGCCACAUUGGGACUGAGACACGGCCCAAACUCCUACGGGAGGCAGCAGUGGGGAAUCUUGCGCAAUGGGCGAAAGCCUGACGCAGCCAUGCCGCGUGAAUGAUGAAGGUCUUAGGAUUGUAAAAUUCUUUCACCGGGGACGAUAAUGACGGUACCCGGAGAAGAAGCCCCGGCUAACUUCGUGCCAGCAGCCGCGGUAAUACGAAGGGGGCUAGCGUUGCUCGGAAUUACUGGGCGUAAAGGGCGCGUAGGCGGAUCGUUAAGUCAGAGGUGAAAUCCCGGAGCUCAACUUCGGAAUUGCCUUUGAUACUGGCGAUCUUGAGUGUGAGAGAGGUAUGUGGAACUCCGAGUGUAGAGGUGAAAUUCGUAGAUAUUCGGAAGAACACCAGUGGCGAAGGCGACAUACUGGCUCAUUACUGACGCUGAGGCGCGAAAGCGUGGGGAGCAAACAGGAUUAGAUACCCUGGUAGUCCACGCCGUAAACGAUGAUUGCUAGUUGUCGGGCUGCAUGCAGUUCGGUGACGCAGCUAACGCAUUAAGCAAUCCGCCUGGGGAGUACGGUCGCAAGAUUAAAACUUAAAUGAAUUGACGG